Molecule: transfer RNA, 72 nt
Filed under: Spirochaetota bacterium
Lineage: Bacteria; Pseudomonadati; Spirochaetota
Also listed under: 1 other name
Description: Spirochaetes bacterium tRNA-Gln
Rfam family: tRNA
About the family: Transfer RNA (tRNA) molecules are approximately 80 nucleotides in length. Their secondary structure includes four short double-helical elements and three loops (D, anti-codon, and T loops).
Source: RNAcentral
UGGGGCGUUGGCAAGUGGUUAAGCCCCCGGUUUUUGGUGCCGGUAUCGUAGGUUCGAAUCCUACCGCCCCAG